AAGUCGUAACAAGGUUUCCGUAGGUGAACCUGCGGAAGGAUCAUUAACAAGUUUAAUCCAACACUAUACGUGCCCGGUCCUGGCCUUCGAUGACGCGUCACCAAUUUAAGUGCUGUUACCGUCAAGUGCGGUAUUCUUGGCAUGGGGGUCGUAGAGUUGGCUUCAACCCGUUUCAACCAUACCUGUGAACCAAAAACAAAACCUUUGCUUCGGCAGCACGCAAACCGGCAGGGUCCCUCGGGACUUUGUCGGUAGGGCGGUAAGGCUGCCAGAAGCCCACCAAUUCCAAACUAGCUGUUGUCAAACCUAUUACAAGUCUGAACUGAUAAGCCAUUUCAAGUGGUAAAUCAUAUUAAAACUUUCAGCAACGGAUCUCUUGGUUCCC
This 385-nucleotide unclassified non-coding RNA is filed under the name fungal sp. RNAcentral describes it as "partial internal transcribed spacer region". The stretch from base 1 to 46 matches the Rfam family "Eukaryotic small subunit ribosomal RNA", at positions 1786 to 1831 of the family's 1831-position model. The record is from RNAcentral. Lineage: Eukaryota; Fungi.